CGGCCGCGCCCUCGGCACCGCUCCGCGCCUCCCCGCGGGCCGCCCGCGCCCCGCGCAGCACCGGCGGGCGGGGCCGCCGCGGAAGGCUGUGUGGUAGCGCCCGGCUCGGCCCGGCAGCGGAGAGCUUGGAGCGGCUGGCCUGGCCAAAGCCCGGCGCUUUGGGGCUGUCUUCCCGGCCCUUUAAUUAGCAGCUCUUAUAAACUCCCAGGAAUUUAUUGCUUCACGCUCUUCCCAUCCCUCACCUUGCCAGGUGUUUCUGAGAAAACUCCUCAUUUACAAGUGUGAUUUGCUUCUAAGGUGCUAUUUCUUGCUCAGAUACAUCAUUUUCCCCUAUACAGAGCACUUCCCCUAUAUUCCACUGGUGAGGCCACACCUCAAGUACUGUGUCCAGUUCUGGGCUCUUCAGUCCACAAAGGAGACUUGAGGUGCUGGAGCAAGUCUAGAGAAAGGAAACAAAACUGGUCUGGAACACUAAUCCUGUGAGGAGCAGGUGAGGGAGCUGGCGUUGUUUAACCCGGAGAAAAGGAGGCUCAGGAAAGCCCUUAUCACUUUACAACUAUCUGAAAGGAGGCUGUAGCCAGGUGGGGGUCAGUCUCUUCUCCCAGGUAACCAGUGACAGAACAAGAGGACACAGUCCUGGGCCAGGGGAGGUGUAGGUUGUACAUCAGGAGGAAUUUAAUCACAGAAAGGGUUGUUAGACCUUGGAAUAGGCUGCCCAGGCAGGUGGUGGAAUCACUGUCCCUGGAGGUGGUUAAGGAAAGACCAGAUAUGGCACUUAGUGCUGUAGUCUAGUUGAUAUGUGUAUUCCUGUGAUUUUAUAGCAGCAUUCCAUUAUCAUUUUCUUUAAAACACAACAGAGCUGGUGAAACUACCAUCUGACGUUCACCUCUGGUCCUGCAGCACCUGCACAGGAGGUGCAGGUAAUAAUCUCCACAAUGAAUCAAAAUGCAGUGUCACCCAGGAGAAACUUAAUAAGAUUAUAUGCAUGAGAAAUCGGAAACAUUUAUUUAAAGCUCAAAACAGGUGUAAUUUCUGCUCUAGACUCCUGGGUAUUUCAAGGAGUGUUGGUUAACUUAUAAAAGCUUGUAGCCUAACUGGCAGUAAAAUGUCAGUGUUUCAAUUAAUAUUUUGAAGGGGUGAAGACAGAUAACAUUUUCCUUUACUGUCCUGUAUUAUAUAUAAGCUGUGGUCAAACAGACUUGCUGGUGUUACCUGGACCAAACCCAAGCAUGAGAUAUUUCUAUCUUUCAGCUUCAGAAGCAGUGCUUAAAACAGCCAUGCUCUCUGCAGAGUACAAGACGGACAACCUGAACUUUUAGUGACCCAGGUUGAUCAGUAACCCAUGUUCCGGAGCAGGACCUUGGAUACCUGAUGACUUCACUGUCAAGCAUUAACUUGUUUCUUGAAAAGUUGCUCUUCUAUAGGUCCUGGUAUCUGGUAUGAUUUUAAAGCCAAUACCAAGUCAGUGAAUUUUCCCCUUCAUUCAGUCAGCACAAGUAAUGCUUUUUACCCUCUAAUUAUCUGAGUGGUAGCCAAAAGAUAGAUUAAACAAUCACAUUUAGUUUGCACAAGAAUUUUAACCAGAAAAAAAAAUGUUGAACACCACAUUUCAUACACUCAUGUUUUGAUUCCAGCUGGAGAGGUAAUGAAUGUUUAGAUUCCCAUAACUCUAGCACUGAUUAAUGUCUGGAAGAGAGCCGGGAAAGAAUAAUGUGGAUGCUGUUUUUAUCCCAUCAGGUAUCCCUACCAAAGGCACAUAUUGUGCCCAACAAAGAUAUUGUAAUGUUUUUUGCUGAGUUCUCUAGUUUCCUUUGUAGCAGAGGUGGAAAGGAAUUCUGAUGCUGCAGGCAUCAUAACUUGUUUGUGGAGGACCAAAUUCUCAAUUUAUGUGUGGAAGAAAACCUAAGGGUGUCUGUGGGCUUCCUCUAUGCCACAGUUCUUCAUCUUGUUACACACAGCUUUGUUGUGCACAACAACUUUUUGUAACCACGGGAGCGUAAAAUGUUUGAGCAAAACAUGUUGCCACUUCCCCAACAUUCUCCUGCUCUGUGUCUAACUCAAGGUACCUUCUUCUGGUAUAGUACUGGCUGCCAUCUCCAUACCUUGUACAGUAUAAAUCCAUAAUUUCUGGUGCCAUCUCUGAGUGCAUCAACAGCAACACUACUUAACCAGCAGAUGAGGCAGGGGAAAAGGGUCUUUAACAGAACUGCAGAAGGUAGGAGGUGUAUGAGGCAAAAGUGCACACUCCCACCAGAGAGGCAGAGAAAAAGCAGCUGCAAGAGGCACUUAUUUCUUCAGGUAUAUACUGUGCUUGUCCAGUUUUUUUUUUUUUUUUUUUUUUUUUUUUUUUUUUGUUGUUGUGCUUUCUGUUCUGAAAGUCUUGUCACUUUCUCCGUGUGUCCCUCUUACAUGAAAGGAGAAACGACCUUGCAGAGUUCCAUUUCCUUCUUCAUCAAAAUCAUUCUGGCUUCAUUGCCUGUUGCUGACCCCUGCCUCUUCCUCAGAGUCUUGUCCCUCCUUCCCUAGCUCUUGAUCUCAACCUUGAGUUCCGACAUUUCAGCCCUUCCCUAGCUGCGCUGUCAAGGCACCAUAUCUUUCUCAUUAGUGGAUUAACUACUGUAACCUGUACUUCCCCUGCUAAAAAAAAAAAAAAAAAAAAAAAAAAAAAAAAAAAAAAAAAAAAAAGAGGCAUCAGUAGCCAGCCUGAGAAUGUCCUACUGCUGUAAAGGUAGACAAGAGCUUGGAGGUUUGGCUUUGUAGUAGAUGGCAGCAGUCACUGACAGCUGGUGCUUGCUGGGAACAAACAGCUGUUAGCUAGAUGUCCCUAGGUGGAGACCCCAAAAUAGUGACCAUUCAGGACCAUUUUUUCUUCUGCAGCUUCCUGAUGAAUCCUUGGCUCUUUGCUCCUGAUGACUUUGCACCCACUCAGCACUUCAGUCCUUUCCACCCAUUUGGUAACUGUUGUGCAACCCUGCCUACCAAAGCCUUUCCAAGAGAAAGGAUAGCUGCAAGAAAUUGACAGCAAGCUGUUACAAGAACACAUCAACAUGGCUUUGGUUUUCCUAUAAAAUUUACUAAACAGGAAUGUUGUAUGGGCUGAAAAAGGAAAAGAAAACUAUAUAUGGAAAGAAACAGACCGACACCUGAUUAAAUACUGUGUUAAAAGUUUGUCCCUACAGUUUGUAGGGAUACUGGGUAAUCACUAGGUAAUUUUUGUUUUACUCAAAGUGAACAACACUCUUUCUGCUGAGUGUUAAUGGUGGAAAAAAUAAACAUGAAGGAAACAAUAAAAAGGCUGUUUCUGGUUUGUACUCUCCUUGGAGCAAGAAAUAAGAAUGAUCUAUGUAGUGCAAGAGAAGUGAAGAAGGUUUUUUGGGCUCACCCAAAUCCUUCAAACAAGUUCCUGAUAUCUAGUGCAAACAAUUAUGUAAAACCUCUUAAGCAACAACCAAAGUGUUAAAAUAAAUGGCCUCUUUUCCAACAGAGAUUAAUGAGACUCUCAGAAAGUUGAUACUGGGAAGUUACACAGUUUUUUUAAAAACUGCUUUAUCCUGUUCUUUGGUGGCAGAAGAUAACAUUUGCCAAAUCCAUUAAUUUACACAAUUUAGAAGACUGCUAUUAUUAUGAAAUAAACCAUUUAUAUAACUUUUUUACUAUUCAGUAAUGUAAUUUACACAUUAUUUUAGUUGUGUUGUAGCUGAGCUUGAAGGCUUUGCCUGAGCAUCGUCUUACCCAUUGUAUAUAUACAAAUGUCAGCCCCUUGCUCAAAACCGUUUUAUGUUUAUUUAAGAGGCACAAAUACUCAGAAUGAUGGACAGAUUUAUAAAAAAUAAAUUGGUUUUACCUUAAGUGAUACAGCUCAGUUCAAUCUUGGGAAAUCAUAGUGGAUAUUGAACAUAACUGCUGGAGGAAGGCUACAUGCUGUAUUCACAAAGGGAUUUGAACACUGAAAGGUUCCUUUUUCAGGUGCCUCACUUCGCUGGGAUUUUUCCCCCUGUAAUGUGUUGCUACUUAUCUCAUAGAGCCAGCAUAUGAACUUUAGCAGUUGUGUCCCCAGGUUUCUCUGAAGACUCUGUAGUUGCUUCCCCUGCAGCCCCUAAGCUUUGCAUUUGUCGUCAGGCUCAGAUUGCUGUAAUGCCACGGGUGAUGUCUGCCUCCAGUUGCUUCUGGAGUUGUGCAUAAUCUUUUUGCCCACAGGAAAAAGCUGUAGUUCUCUUUCCUCCCUGUGAGAGCUGUUCCUAUUACAUAUUCCUGAGCUCUCAUAUAUAGAAAAUAUAUUCUAGUCCUUAAUAUGCCUGCACUUCAAUUUGCAGGUGUUAGAAUUAAACAUACGUACCCUGGUUUUGGUUACAGCAUCUUCUACUUCAAAGUCAGCUUAUAUGCAUGUACAUUAUUACUUCCUGUGACUGCCACAGCUGUGUAAGUGUAUGGGCAGCAACAAUUCGUUUUCUCUACACCAAGGCCAGCUCUGCAAGUUCUAUUGGGAUAAUUAAUCCUAUUGUGGGAGGAGAAGGUAACGUAGAAAUAAAAGCUAAAAUAGGGUAAAAGGGUGGAUAUAACUAUGUUGUUAUAAAGAUGACACAUCCAAAUGAUGAUGUUCCUUGCUGUAUGGGAAUAGCUAUCGCAGUAUAAAGCACCUUUAUAUAAAUACAGCUGUAGACUUGACAUGUCAGAACUUGAGACAGCAGGGAAUGUCUGUGGUGAAACUUGGACACCUUAGCAAGCAAGAACCAUGCCAAGCCCUGAUACUGUGGUGGGGGAAACUGUGACAGAAUGAUAACUGGAGUGUCUUUAGUGGCCAAAACUCAGCAGGGCAUGCAGAGCUCCACUGAGGGUGUAAUAUGAUUGUGCAUCAUCUUCAACCUGCAGCAUUGGCUGAUCUCCUAUCAUGCUAACCCACCCCUUGAACACCAUGCAGAGAGAUGGGGUACCCCCUCUUCAGCUACCUCCACUCUGCAAAUGAUUCCAGGACAUUGCUCUUACCUUGCCCGUUCUUUAGUGAUACAUCCCAUUCCCUCAGGCUAGCACCCCUAAUAUUGCAUCCCUACUCUCCACAUUAUUUUCUCUUAAAUACCUCCUUGUCCUACUGUAGAGCCCACUUUGAUCCCUGCUCUUGGUUUUCUUUUAUGAAGUGGAUCCCAGCACUAUGCUGAAUGUGAGGGAAAGGCACCACAGCUGGACACUGAGCCUCCCACACUUUGACCAGAUUGCUGAACAGUCCCAAACAAUACUGCACAUGUCACAGGUGAGCAGUUUGUGCAACUGGUAACAGCAGGGGACCAAAUCUGUAAGAUGCCUUCAGUUCAGUUGUCAGCUGGUGAGUUACAUGCUGUAAAAAAGCUUUUUAAGACACUGCCUUCUGAGUGGCCAUGAAGGCUUUCUCCCAUUAUAUGGAAACCAGAUUAUUGCUGAACUUAUUUGAUCCAUUCAUAGGGAGUAAUAAAAUAUACAUUUGGCUCAGUAAAACUCCAUCUGGUCUCUGAGAUAUAUUGGCAUGGCAAGCAUCCACCUUCCAUUGCUGUCACUUGCAGUCCCCAUCCAGCCAUUUAUCAGUUCAUCUGUCACAAGAAGCAGAAAGAUUCCCCUUGCAUAGACAAAAAGUCACCUCCCUGAGGCAUCUAUUUGGGCUACUGGAGUGGCACAUUUUAAGCCUGUAACCGCCUAAAAAGGAUUCAUGAGACUGCCCCUUCUGCUCAGGUAUUCAGAACUGUCUCUGUACAAGGAAACUGUAUAAUGGGGAGGAAAAGCAUUGGGAAUUGAAAAUUAAUCACUCUUGUUUUUUUCUGUAAGAGCUCUUUUGUAAUGCUUUAAGAGCAGACAGGAGUUAGCUGGUUAGGAAAAUCAGACUGAAUGCCUUCUUUUAAGAUAAAAGGUGAUUGAUUUGCAGCUGUGCAGACACAGUCUUAAUCUACCUCAUGUUUAUCAGGUUCAAAGGCACUUUUAUCAAAUUCACCAGAGAAAAAGAAGUGCUGCAGGUUUGAGCUUAACUAUCCUACUGGUACCUGUAGGUCAAGGCUGAGACCUUCAGGUCUUUCCUUUCACAGAGGGUGACUGACUUCCCUCUUGGUCUAAGUUUAUUGAAGCUUCUGGCCUCUUGCAGUUCCUUGUGAUUACAAAACUGACUCAGUUACUUUUCAGAAGCAUCACAUUAUUUCAAGACAAAAAUAUUACUGAGUAGUAUCAAGUUUGUCAGGUUUAACUGAUGCUUGGGGUUAUUAAUUUUUAUGUUGUGUGUUUCUGAAAUUUUGCUGCUCAGACAUGCCCUGUCAGUGUGCUCUUCUCCCUCCCUGCUUUUUGCCCUAUCGAGUCAAAAAUCCAUUAUCAUGUUGCUUGAGGGCAUUAAGCUUCCCAGUCUUGUUCAAUUGUAAGAUUAUUCUUAACUACACUUUUAGGUUCUCAAAAGGACACCUAUUGAUCCAUUAACCUGUGAACAUUUAAUGUGUGGGGGAUCUGGAGAUAAAAUUUUUACUUUUUCUGGGCUUUCAAAGUCUCAUGUCUUUUUGUAAAAGAGACUCUUAGACCAUUCAGUGUGGAUAAAAAGGCUCAGAACUGGAGGUCAGAGUGACAGACAACAAAGUUGACCUAACUGCGGAGGUGUGUGAGGACUGUUUCAGAGUAGUAGGAAAAAAUGGGAAUAAAGGAGGUCAAAGAGUUUCAGAAGAUGCUUCUGACCGAGUAUUUUUGCCAGGUCCUGAGCUGUAAUGGGAAAUAUGGAGUGUAAUUCAGCUCCAGAUUGCAGACGUCUAAAUUUAGGUAUUAAAUAUAGGUGACUGCCUGUGACACAUAUCUCAAGUUCCAUUUCAAGCAAUGGAGAUCAAGUCCUUAGAGUUACUGGGGCCUGGAGAGCUGUUGAGCUCAUCCUAAAUUAGACACCUACCAGGCCAGUCUGUCAAAGACCCAGUCGUGCUGCUGCUGAGAUACUUCUCAGUUCUUAAACUUUGACAAGUCUAUUUGGUACAUCCCAAGAUGCCCAGGCUUCCCCAAAGACAGAAUAAUCACACAUCUCUCUGGUGACUGUGUUGGCAGGGGGAAACUAUGAUUGUGUUUGCCCAGCCAGAAACACACCAGAUGGCUGGAACAACUGAGUGUAAUGCAUCCUUUGGGGCAAACCUCCUUGAAUUUCCCAAAACCUGCCUGUGUACUUGCUCAUUAUACAUGAUAGACACAAGAAGGAUGUAAACAUGACAUCAAGUGCUCCUGGGCAGCCAAAGAACCUUGUCUGUUCACAGCCUCUCUGCCAGGCCUGCUUACUAUCAUGGCCAUAGUCUCACUUGUGGGGCUGUGGACAAGAGCUGCAGGACUCAGGGCUCUUCGGUAAGAGUGGUUGGAUAUAUCUUAAGUAAGCACUAUCAACUGCUAAGAUAUGGCAGAAUAACCCUGGCACUGCAUACACAUGGAUUAUAUGUAUGGAACAUAUAGGGAAGGCUAAACCAAAAUUUUAUAGCUCCAGCACUAACAUUUAUAGCUCACUUGUUUGCCAGAGAAAGGGCAUGUUCAUAAUGUAUUUCUCUUUUAGCUUACCCUCUACUCAAAAGGUUAAAAAAAAAAAAAGAAAAAGCCCAAACACACCCACAAUGACAUGAUCAGAACUUAUUUUUAUCUCAUUGUUUGUAGAGUUCACUUACAGGAUUACAAAUCUUUUUGGUAUAUUGCACAAGAAUUACAAGAAUUCAACUACUAAUGAAUUUUAACCAUAGAACAUGAGUACUGAACAUUUCUGGGAAUACUGUUCAACAUAAAAUGUGUGAACACACGAAUACUUAGCAGAGUAUGUUAAGAGAUACCAUCAGUUAAUAUAGGAGAAUAUAUAAGUAAUUGACUGGUUCUUCAUGAGAAGAUUCUUGGUCCCUCGCUGCUCAUUGCACAUUCCCUUCACAAGGUAUUUGUGGUACACAUCUGACUUGAAAACAUCAUCAGCUUUGUCUGUGCCACUGUUUUUACACGGUCUUGCCCUUUCUUGUUGUUGUUAGGCUUCCGUUUGCAACUAAAAGCUGCUACUUCCAUCUGCUGUGGGCAAAAAUGUGCUUCUGAAAGACUUUCACUGUCCCUUGGCAGCGUGCCACAGAAAUAUUUCUGCACAAAAGCAGUAGCUGUCAGUGCUGGAUUUUAGGGACCGAGGGAUCAUCUUGAAUACUUUACAGCAUACUUUUAUAUAAAUUAUUAUUAGGUUCCUGCAGAAUUUGCUGUGCCUGGACUUCUGAGCCUAUUACAUUUUCAAGGUGUGCAGAGUGACUGAUGUACAGCUCACUGUCCAUGCAAACACAGAGCAGCCUGACAAGCUGCAGUGCUAUGAAUCUUCUCCCUUUUCCUACUUUUAAGAGAUCUUGAAAGAGAAGUGUUUAAUCUUUUGUAACCCAUACUUAUCACUGUACUAUUCAACAAAAUAUUCUCUCCAAUACCUUUGUAGUGAUUACUGACAGCACAAUUCUUUUGAUUGUUCAUCAGAUUUAUAACCUGAGACAACACUUGAGUGGGCACAAACAAGCAGACAGGAAAACAGAGAAAAUCGAGAAGUAAUUAAUGGUCAGCAUGGGGAGGACAGUACUUCAGCACACCUGCAGCAUAAGAGUUUCAAGAUUUUUGCUGGAAAGCUUUGAAAAACACAACACAUUCACUCCAUAAAUGCUUGUGGCAUCCUUCACUCAUAAUGUGAUGGCUGAAGGAGGAAGUGCCAAAGGGAUGCACUGAGAAAUGUAACACAUGAGCAGUUAUUGGCUGGAAUCAGCAUCUUUAUGGAGAGUGAGGGAUAACAACACAGCGCAAACAUGCUAAAGAGGUUUGUGAAAAUGAAGACAAGGAUGUAUUUGAUGAGCAAGAAAAAAGAGCAGAGAAUAAAUGUCUGGAGUUCAAAGCCAAACUAAUGGAAAGCACCUGGAAGAAACAAAUAGAAGGCAGGAGCUGUUAACAUAAUGUGGUAAGGUUUAACUCAGCAAGUCCCUAAGCUGCUGGUUAUAGAAGAAAGAAAGGAACCCUCUCUAUUUCUAGGUUUUUGCUCAUCUCUGGCUGUCCACAGGUGGUUUCAAGGAGUGCAAGGUAACGUAAAUACAAAGGAGAAAUCUUGCAAGUUAGGAAGGGUUAGAAAUUUGCACUGUCAAAUAUUUUGGAAACUUUGCACUGAAAAGUAAUUGCCUCUACAUUAUUUUCUCUAUUUCUCUAAAUUUCUCCACAUUUUCUCACCUAAUGACCAGCAGUACAGUAUGUGUUCAGACACCAUGUUUUUUUUACCAGGACAAAUAGGAGAAUAAAGAAUGUAUAUAGGAUGUAUAUAGGAUGUAUAUAGGAUGUAUAUAGGAUGUAUAUAGGAUGUGGAACUCAGCACCAGAAACUUAUCUGUAUUAGUCACAAAUGUCUUAGUCUUAGUUAGCUUGCUAGAGAAAAACUGUGACAUCUGACUAAGACACUGGUAUCCAAAUAAACCAAAUUCAUGCACAGUCUACAUCAGAUUAUUUGUAUGAUACAGAAAUCUCUUAAAUUUGCUGAAUUUUCCCUCCAACCCCUCAGCACCUUGUGUGCUACAUGUUACCCCCAGAGCUUCUCUGCCAUCAGAGCCACUCACCAUCUCUUAGCAUUUUUUCCCCCUUAAUAUAAAAUGAAAGAAGUUUUGAAGCAAAAAUUUAAAUGCUAAAAUUCUCUUCACCUAACUCUUGUAAUUUAAAAUUUGGCCUAAUAAUCUAAAACUCAAUCUACUGAUUCAAUUCAGGGUGAAUAAAUUGAGAAUGGUUCCUUUAAUUUCUUGGAAAUAUGUAUGUACUUACGUUUGCAAAGAUAUUGUAAGCUCUUUAAUCUACAACUUCAAUUGUUUUUCUUCACCUCAAUAUCAAAACCAUGGUUCAGCUCACUAGAGGGAAAAUCCUGUAUUAAUAGUCAUUGAUUGCCCACAUCAGGGGACCUGGCAGAGGACGUCACUGCCCACUCCUUUCUCAGGUAUCUAGGCUCUCCUUGGGUGGAAAAGACGUCCAGGGAAGGAAAAGCAGCACAAACAUCUGGCUUUCCCACCCAAGUUAGGGUGGAGUCAGAGUGGAUAUCUACUGACAUAGUACAUGUUGUUUGAUCUAUGACAUAUAUUUACCAAAUAAUUUCUCUCUCUCUCUCUCUUUCUUUUGCAAGAGUGGUAACAUUUUUUGAGCUGUCAGACACAGUCUGAAAAUCUGAGACUUCUUUACAAAACAGGUCACAAAACCCAGGAUAGGGAAGACAUUAAAAGGACUGUAUUCAAAGAUCUUUAGCAGCUGUUUCUGUCUCUUUCCUGUAUUUUUAUACUAAUAUUUUGAAAUUUUAUGAUGUGUUUUUAAUACAUUUCCUUCAUUUAUUGCUGGAGAAUAUUAACAUAUUAUUAUUGAGCUGUUUAGGUGUCCAUGGCCACUCUUCUCAUUAUUCUUCUCAUUUUUAAUGUGUUCAUUAAUACUUUUGUUUCAUUUUUAAUGUGUUCAUUAAUACUUUUGUUUGAGGGAAAUAAAAGAAGCAUAGAUAUAAUAAUUUGCCUAUAUAGCAAGCUUCAGAAAAGCUGUCUGUGUUUCUGAGCUCUCAGAUUUAAUUCUAUCUGUCCCUUUAAUGUCAACUGAACACUUAAUACUGAUGAGAAGACAGCUGGCUGCUCCGACAUGGAUGUACAACAUCUGUUGGCUGCUCUAUGAGCAUAAGACUUGGAACAGCUUCCACUCACUGUGCACCUGACUUUUUUGAAAAUGAUCCAGUUUUUGUGUUUGUGAACUGAUUUGAUGCCUUUAUUCAUCACAGAGCAUCUCCUCAUCCCUUCUUUAUCCAUCCUUGAAUGUGUGCCACACCAUCUGAAAAUAAAAGAUUGAAUU
Molecule: non-coding RNA, 10808 nt
Organism: Taeniopygia guttata (zebra finch)
Lineage: Eukaryota; Metazoa; Chordata; Aves; Passeriformes; Estrildidae
Source: RefSeq, a predicted model, not a curated record